Pelobates cultripes (western spadefoot toad) is the source of this 235-nucleotide non-coding RNA. NCBI's taxonomy places the organism in Eukaryota, Metazoa, Chordata, Amphibia, Anura, Pelobatidae. The record is from the annotation of a GenBank genome assembly.
AUGCGGAAAUCAGCUAGGCACUUCUACGAGCACUCAAAUAAGAGCGGUCGACUCCUAGCACAAGUGCUCCGGGAGAAGCGUAGAGCCCAACAUAUCCACCAGAUACACACCAGACAAGGUCAGACCACCAGACUGCCUGAAGGCAUUAUGCCAGCAUUUAGGGCCUAUUACAUGGACCUUUACAACCAAGCUAGGCCCAUGCAAGGGACAGAAGCCCAAAACCACCGCAGGAGAG